Molecule: long non-coding RNA, 721 nt
Filed under: Gossypium raimondii (Peruvian cotton)
Lineage: Eukaryota; Viridiplantae; Streptophyta; Magnoliopsida; Malvales; Malvaceae
Description: long non-coding RNA (GRAI_LNC007284)
Source: RNAcentral
AAAAAGAAUGCUGCCCCUUUUGCUCUGCUAGGGUUUCGACCCUAGCAUCCUUGCGCCGCCGUUCAUCAGCCUCCCCACCCAAAGCUCCAAUGAUGGCGGAGAUGGUGGUGGCACGACGACCUCGGCGAAUAGGUAAGUGUUUUUCCCUUCUUUUCUUGUUAUUUCAGGUAAAAUAAAAUGAAAAAAUAAAAGAAAAUAAAAAAAGAAAUAUGUAAAUAAAAAGAAACGAUGAACACUUCAAAGUAGAAACAAAACCUUCGAAAAAAUAAAUUUCCUCUGUAUUUCUCUCUAUUUUGGUACUUUUUUACACUCCAAAAUCCCCUUUUACCCAUUUUCCCCCAAUUUACAGAUUUUUCACGGCUUUAAAUAGCCGAAAUGGAAAAGAAAAAAUACAUAAUCAAAAGAAAUCUAUUCCGAUUUUCCUAUUCUGUUUUGUUCCCCCUCUCUUUGAUGUAGUGUUUGUUACUAUUAUUGCUGCGAUGUAUGCUAUUUUUUCGCAGGUUUGGCGGCCGUUGAAGAGGCGUUGUAUGCGGGGGUUGCUGUACGUGGGUGAUGUGCGGCGGCUGCUGAAGCAAAUAGGCUCCUAGGGUUUCUGUUAUUUUGUUUUUGUGUGGGCUAGGUUUAGUGGGUUGGGUCUAGUGUUUGGGCCUGCUUAUUUGCUUGGGCCUGGGCAUAGUUGGGCUUGUACAGUACCAAUAUCCGAUAAUUCUCUCAAUCCAGG